This 314-nucleotide ribosomal RNA is filed under the name Pseudo-nitzschia fraudulenta. RNAcentral's name for it is "partial Bacterial large subunit ribosomal RNA". It matches the Rfam family "Bacterial large subunit ribosomal RNA", at positions 1111 to 1418 of the family's 2925-position model. The record is from RNAcentral. Lineage: Eukaryota; Bacillariophyta; Bacillariophyceae; Bacillariales; Bacillariaceae.
AGCAGCCAUCCUUUAAAGAAAGCGUAACAGCUCACUGGUCUAAAUAAGGGGUUUUGCGCCGAAAAUGUACCGGGGCUAAAGCCAUGCACCGAAGCUGAGGAUGUGCAGUUUACUGCACGUGGUAGCGGAGCGUUCUGUAAGUCUGUGAAGGGAGACCCGUGAGGGCUCCUGGAGAUAUCAGAAGUGCGAAUGUUGACAUGAGUAACGAUAAAGGGAGUGAGAGACUCCCUCGCCGAAAGACCAAGGGUUCCUGCUUAAAGUUAAUCUGAGCAGGGUGAGCCGGCCCCUAAGGCGAGGCCGAAAGGCGUAGUCGA